UCCUACGGGGCGCAGCAGUGAGGAAUAUUGGUCAAUGGGCGCAGGCCUGAACCAGCCAAGUAGCGUGAAGGAUGACUGCCCUAUGGGUUGUAAACCUCUUUUGUCGGGGAGCAAAGAGAGUCACGUGUGACUCAUUGAGAGUACCCGAAGAAAAAGCAUCGGCUAACUCCGUGCCAGCAGCCGCGGUAAUACGGAGGAUGCGAGCGUUAUCCGGAUUUAUUGGGUUUAAAGGGUGCGCAGGCGGAGGUGCAAGUCAGCGGUCAAAUUGCGGGGCUCAACCCCGUACUGCCGUUGAAACUGCAUCC
RNAcentral lists this ribosomal RNA (305 nucleotides) under uncultured bacterium. Its description in RNAcentral is "bacterial SSU rRNA". It matches the Rfam family "Bacterial small subunit ribosomal RNA", at positions 337 to 640 of the family's 1533-position model. The record is from RNAcentral.